CAAAAUUUCUUAACAAAGGAAACCUGUUAAGCAACAAGGGAAUAUUUUCUGCAAAUUUUUUUCAUGUUAGCAUCUCUAAGCACAGUGCUGAGGAGUACAAGAAUGACAUUAACUAAUAAUAUGAAAAUUGGAGGAACAAGACACCCCAUCUUCUCACUCCAGCUAUUUCUCUGGCUAUUCUGCAUGCUUGGAAUGUUCUCCCUCACCAUCUCUGCUUCCUGGAUUUCCUGACUUCCUUCAAGUCCUGUGCUAAAAUCCAACCUUAAACAAUAAGCUUUUCUUCAACCCUCUUUAGUCUACUGCCUUACUUAUGAAUGAUUAGUUAAUUAAUUAUUGUCAAUUUAUCCUUUAUUUAGCUUGUUUAUUCAUAGCUGUUUUAUGUUAUUUCCCUCAUUAAUUCUUAAUAAUCAAGGUCAGGAUGAUAGGGAACUGUAGUAAAGAAUGAAUAAGAAGGGGGCAGCUAGGUGGCUUAGGCCUAAAGAUGGGAGGUCCUGGGUUCAAAUCUAGCUUCAGACACUUCCUAGUUGUGUGACCCUGGACAAGUCACUUAACACUCAUUGUCUAGUUUUUGCCAUUCUUCUGCCUUGAAAUCA
Molecule: long non-coding RNA, 593 nt
Filed under: Monodelphis domestica (gray short-tailed opossum)
Lineage: Eukaryota; Metazoa; Chordata; Mammalia; Didelphimorphia; Didelphidae
Description: lncRNA (ENSMODG00000041836.1)
Source: RNAcentral